RNAcentral lists this ribosomal RNA (425 nucleotides) under uncultured bacterium. RNAcentral describes it as "partial 16S ribosomal RNA". It matches the Rfam family "Bacterial small subunit ribosomal RNA", at positions 354 to 796 of the family's 1533-position model. The record is from RNAcentral.
GUGGGGAAUAUUGGACAAUGGGCGCAAGCCUGAUCCAGCAAUGCCGCGUGCAGGAAGAAGGCCUUCGGGUUGUAAAGCUCUUUAGUCCACGAAUAUAAUGACUGUAGUGGAAGAAUAAGCCCCGGCUAACUUCGUGCCAGCAGCCGCGGUAAUACGAAGGGGGCGAGCGUUAUUCGGAAUCACUGGGCGUAAAGCGCGCGUAGGCUGUUUUGUAAGUCAGAAGUGAAAGCCCAGGGCUUAACCCUGGAAUUGCUUUUGAAACUACAAGACUCGAAUUCGGGAGAGGAUAGCGGAAUUGUCAGUGUAGCAGUGAAAUGCGUAGAUAUUGACAGGAACACCAGUGGCGCAAGCGGCUAUCUGGACCGAUAUUGACGCUGAGGCACGAAAGCGUGGGGAGCAAACAGGAUUAGAAACCCGAGUAGUCC